This 649-nucleotide ribosomal RNA is filed under the name uncultured cyanobacterium. RNAcentral describes it as "bacterial SSU rRNA". It matches the Rfam family "Bacterial small subunit ribosomal RNA", at positions 66 to 756 of the family's 1533-position model. The record is from RNAcentral. Lineage: Bacteria; Bacillati; Cyanobacteriota.
ACGCAAGUAGCAAUACUUGAGUGGCGGACGGGUGAGUAACGCGUGAGAAUCUACCUUUUGGUCUGGGAUAACAGCUGGAAACGGCUGCUAAUACCGGAUGUGCCGCAACGUGAAAGAUUUAUCGCCAAGAGAAGAGCUCGCGUCUGAUUAGCUAGUUGGUGAGGUAAAGGCUCACCAAGGCUGCGAUCAGUAGCUGGUCUGAGAGGAUGACCAGCCACACUGGGACUGAGACACGGCCCAGACUCCUACGGGAGGCAGCAGUGGGGAAUUUUCCGCAAUGGGCGAAAGCCUGACGGAGCAAGACCGCGUGAGGGAGGAAGGCCUUUGGGUUGUAAACCUCUUUUCUCAGGGAAGAAGAAAGUGACGGUACCUGAGGAAUCAGCCUCGGCUAACUCCGUGCCAGCAGCCGCGGUAAUACGGAGGAGGCAAGCGUUAUCCGGAAUUAUUGGGCGUAAAGCGUCCGUAGGUGGCUUUCUCAAGUCUGCGGUUAAAGACUGGGGCUUAACUCCAGAAAGGCCGUGGAAACUGAAAGGCUAGAGAGCCGUAGGGGUAGAGGGAAUUCCCGGUGUAGCGGUGAAAUGCGUAGAGCUCGGGAAGAACAUCGGUGGCGAAAGCGCUCUACUGGACGGUAUCUGACACUGAGGGACGA